GUGCAGAUCAGGGGACCGCCGGGUCUCCUCGGAGACCGGGAGGAACGUCCGGACACCACAGAGCAGCGUGCUAGGUAACGCCUAGGCGGGGUAACCCGACGGCAGAGCGCCACAGAAAAUAGACCGCCCAGCCUCGGUUGGGUAAGGGUGAAACGGUGCGGUAAGAGCGCACCAGCGGCUCCGGUGACGGAGUCGGCUUGGCAAGCCCCACGCGGUGCAACGCCAAACAGGGAUGAUGAUGCGGCUCGCAGAAUCCCGGGUAGGCGGCUCGAGCGGCCCGGUAACGGGUCGCCUAGAUAGAUGGUCCCCCUCGACAGAAUCCGGCGUAUCGAUCUGCAACCGCG
RNAcentral lists this RNase P RNA (344 nucleotides) under Thermoleophilia bacterium. RNAcentral describes it as "RNase P RNA component class A". It matches the Rfam family "Bacterial RNase P class A". Rfam says of the family: Ribonuclease P (RNase P) is a ubiquitous endoribonuclease, found in archaea, bacteria and eukarya as well as chloroplasts and mitochondria. The record is from RNAcentral. Lineage: Bacteria; Bacillati; Actinomycetota; Thermoleophilia.